Molecule: long non-coding RNA, 2198 nt
Organism: Passer domesticus (house sparrow)
Lineage: Eukaryota; Metazoa; Chordata; Aves; Passeriformes; Passeridae
Exons: 4
Source: RefSeq, a predicted model, not a curated record
UCCUGUCUGUAACAGAAAAAAUCCCAGACUUCAGGAAAGAGAACAGCUACACAGUAAAGAGAAAGCAAUUCUGUGCAGUGAGGGAUAUGAGCUUGGGUGAUGAAAAUGUGAUUAGAAAACAAAUCUGACACAGAAGGGCUGUUAAACUACUGAAAUCUGAAUCUCUCUGACUUUUCAAGGUGAACACCUGGUAAGAGCAGCACUACAGAGCAGGAAUCAUCUUCACUAGAAAAAGUUUCAGAUGCUUUGUAAAGUUUGAAAGCAACAAACAACAACAGCUCAUAAUGAAUCUCAUGAAAAAGCUACAAGCCAUCACUUACCACUGAAAAAUGUCCUUGAAGGAGGCUGCUUCCACAGGACUCCAGCUCUAACACACAGGUUCUUAUGCACCAGCAAGUUACAGCUGCACAGCAAGCUGCAGAUACAACAAACAAGAAGUGUCUGCUUAAAUACAAAUGUUUAAUAGUGCAAAUGUCAGCAGUUCAGUGCAGUGAGCGUCUCAUAUCCAGCAGCUGAGUAACAGAGGGAAAAGUCUACUCAAAUUAUCAUAAAAUUUCCACUGAGCCUAGUCCCUUGUGGUCUACUCCUUUCCUAAAAAAAUGAAAAAUCCAACAAUCCAACUGCUCCUACAGGUAUUUAUUUAGUGAUGCAUCUUUAUAUUUUCUUUUUCUUAAGAAAUAUUGACAUGUUCCUCUUGGGCUGCUGUAACAGUGAUACUUUUCUGAGUAUUUAGAUCCUAAUCUUUCCAACAGCCCUUUUGCAAGCAACUAUUUAUGUUAUCAGCAUGUACUGUAUCUUGGCCUGUUUGGAGCUCUGAAAUGCAAACGGAAUGGUAAAUUUUAUAAUUAUUGUUUAGUACUUGGGAUUAUUCAAUUUCCACUGGGCUGCUACAACUUUGUCAAUUAAGAACCUCCUACAACAGCAACUGUCUAGAGAGACACUUAGGAUUUGGUUCAUGUAGCUUUUACUUUACCAUGCUGGUGGGAAGGAGGAAGAGUGCAUGGAGAAGUUUUGGAUUCCAUGAAGAAGUAAUGGCAUUUAUUAGACCAAGUGGUGCAGCUGAAAAAGUAAAAAGGCUGCCAGGCAUAGCAGCUCUUCUUUAGAAUUUACCUUUCCACUCUGUUCACUGGUGAACUGCAGUGAGAGUGGUUCUGCCCCUCUGAAAAUACAUAAAAUAGACUUGGGACUGGCCAAUAUAGAGAAAGGUUUCACCAAGUGCUUUUUGUGUGUUUAAUAUAUAAUGUUUAAUUUCAUGUUCAUAAUAAAUCUGACAAGAAGACAUCCAGUUGUACAAGAACUGUUCCAAGUCUGUAAAUAAGCACGUUUAAACAAGUAUUUGACUGUAGCCUGGCAACACCCUGCUGUCAGACAGGAUCACAGGGAAGAGAGGGACAGUUCUCAGCCCAACAGGCUCAGACCCUUAGGAAGAACCAGAUCUUUGUGCAACCUGCUCAUUCUCAGGAGGCAAUGCCACAGCUGGGAUGUCCUCAUCUGCCCUCUGGCCUUUCAUCUGCUCUUGAUCAGAUAUGUGGAAGACACAAUUACUUCAGCAGCUUACAAGCUAUUGCAUCAUUUGGGGCCAUUCAAUCUCAGGAAGUAAUUAUUAAGAAUUUAAAGACUUAAUUUCAGGUGUCUACUGAGUUACAUAUAGGCACGCUCCCUUUAUUUCAAAGAAGAAUCUACAGAUUUCUUGUCUAGAAGUCACAUCAUAUGUCAGCACACUUGGUAACUAUGCUUUAACAUUAGCCAAGGAACAAGAGCUGAAGUUUUCUCUUAUCCCUAUUGCAACAGUGUCAGAGUAUCCCACCGUGCCCUUCAGCUUCAUGUUAAAAUCCCUGCAUUAACCCAAAGGUGACAGGAGACCCUCCCCAAGCCCCAGGCUCCUGUAACCACGUGCUGAACAUGCCCCACUGCUGCAUCACCUCCCAGGAUGUUAUUUCCUGGGCAAGACAGAAAAAGUGUUCCCUCUGCUGCAGAACCUGUAUGUUCCACAGAGCAACACGCUGGGAUUUGUCAUGAACAACGAGGUCACCUGAUGCUCUUGGGUCACACCAGGCCUACACUAAUUUGUGCACUUACAAGGCCUGUUUUACAACAUAUUAAAACACCUGGGAUAAAAGGAGCACUUGCUCAUCAGUAAGCUGGGAGCCUGUGGGCUACUUCUAAGAGAUUCAAGAAAUAAAGAACUAAUCGAAUUA